GUGUACUUUUUUGAAUGUGAUUUAAGGAAAGGUGCACUUGAAAGGUUUGAGUUUGUGCUUCUAUGAUUUACAACGAUGCACACAUAGGAAACGGAGUAAUGCGACCUGACAUUUUGCGAUAUGCCCUCGUGCUUUUGGUUCUAUUGGAGAUGAUUCUGCCAUCCACAAUGGGCGCUCUUGAAAGAUACCAAAGAGCUCGUCGCCGAGGAAAGCGCAAGCGUUCAUAAAACAAUUGAGGAUGCCCUUUUCUUUCGCAUGGAAUUUUCGGAGAAUACUUCCGUGCCUGUUGUUGAAAAUUAGGCUGUGGUCCUGUUCUCUACAAUCGAAUCGUAACGAAUACCUUUCGAACAAAAUUAGCCCUAAAAUGAUUGGUAAUGCAUUAGCAGUGGGGCUGAGCGCAGGGACAGAUCUCUUCGUCAUUUACAUUAUAUUUAGUGUUAGCGUUCGUUAUUGACUCGCGCCGGAUUCAAAUGAAUUUGUCGUCUGUGACCGGCCUCUUAAUAAAAGACCAUUCUCGGCUUAAUUUCUUUAGUGAACUGCAACGCCAAAACCGGUCGAUGGGUCUGAGUUUCUCUAUGAGGGACGUGGAGGUUUCACUCACUUUGGGAACGGCGGGAGGAUAUGUUUACCUCACCGUUAAUGAUACGAUACUACAAAUCGUUUUGGAAAUCUAU
Molecule: long non-coding RNA, 674 nt
Filed under: Varroa destructor (honeybee mite)
Lineage: Eukaryota; Metazoa; Arthropoda; Arachnida; Mesostigmata; Varroidae
Description: uncharacterized LOC111249729, transcript variant X1
Source: RNAcentral